This 1200-nucleotide ribosomal RNA is filed under the name Latilactobacillus sakei. RNAcentral's name for it is "bacterial SSU rRNA". It matches the Rfam family "Bacterial small subunit ribosomal RNA", at positions 215 to 1406 of the family's 1533-position model. The record is from RNAcentral. Lineage: Bacteria; Bacillati; Bacillota; Bacilli; Lactobacillales; Lactobacillaceae.
CACCUUGAGGAAGAACCCGGGGGUCCUUAAUUAAGUUGUCAAGUAAACGGCUCACUCAAGCUCGUCACGCAUGGCGGACUUGGACGGGUAAUCGGCCAAAAUGGGACUGAGACUCGCCCCAGAUUCCUACGGGAGGCAGCAGUAGGGAAUCUUCCACAAUGGACGAAAGUCUGAUGGAGCAACGCCGCCUGAGUGAAGAAGGUUUUCGGAUCGUAAAACUCUGUUGGUGGAGAAGAAUGUAUCUGAUAGUAACUGAUCAGGUAGUGACGGUAUCCAACCAGAAAGCCAGGGCUAAUUACGUGCCAGCAGCCGCGGUAAUACGUAGGUGGCAAGCGUUGUCCGGAUUUAUUGGGCGUAAAGCGAGCGCAGGCGGUUUCUUAAGUCUGAUGUGAAAGCCUUCGGCUCAACCGAAGAAGUGCAUCGGAAACUGGGAAACUUGAGUGCAGAAGAGGACAGUGGAACUCCAUGUGUAGCGGUGAAAUGCGUAGAUAUAUGGAAGAACACCAGUGGCGAAGGCGGCUGUCUGGUCUGUAACUGACGCUGAGGCUCGAAAGCAUGGGUAGCAAACAGGAUUAGAUACCCUGGUAGUCCAUGCCGUAAACGAUGAGUGCUAGGUGUUGGAGGGUUUCCGCCCUUCAGUGCCGCAGCUAACGCAUUAAGCACUCCGCCUGGGGAGUACGACCGCAAGGUUGAAACUCAAAGGAAUUGACGGGGGCCCGCACAAGCGGUGGAGCAUGUGGUUUAAUUCGAAGCAACGCGAAGAACCUUACCAGGUCUUGACAUCCUUUGACCACUCUAGAGAUAGAGCUUUCCCUUCGGGGACAAAGUGACAGGUGGUGCAUGGUUGUCGUCAGCUCGUGUCGUGAGAUGUUGGGUUAAGUCCCGCAACGAGCGCAACCCUUAUUACUAGUUGCCAGCAUUUAGUUGGGCACUCUAGUGAGACUGCCGGUGACAAACCGGAGGAAGGUGGGGACGACGUCAAAUCAUCAUGCCCCUUAUGACCUGGGCUACACACGUGCUACAAUGGAUGGUACAACGAGUUGCGAGACCGCGAGGUUUAGCUAAUCUCUUAAAACCAUUCUCAGUUCGGAUUGUAGGCUGCAACUCGCCUACAUGAAGCCGGAAUCGCUAGUAAUCGCGGAUCAGCAUGCCGCGGUGAAUACGUUCCCGGGCCUUGUACACACCGCCCGUCACACCAUG